AUUGAACGCUGGCGGCAGGCCUAACACAUGCAAGUCGGGCGAGUGGCGGACGGGUGAGUAAUGUAUGGGAAACUGCCUGAUGGAGGGGGAUAACUACUGGAAACGGUAGCUAAUACCGCAUACCAUCAGAUGUACCCAUAUGGGAUUAGCUGGUAGGUAAGGUAACGGCUUACCUAGGCGACGAUCCCUAGCUGGUCUGAGAGGAUGAUCAGCCACACUGGGACUGAGACACGGCCCAGACUCCUACGGGAGGCAGCAGUGGGGAAUAUUGCACAAUGGGGGCAACCCUGACGCAGCCAUGCCGCGUGAAUGAAGAAGGCCUUCGGGUUGUAAAGUUCUUUCGGUAGCGAGGCGUUAACUACAGAAGAAGCACCGGCUAACUCCGUGCCAGCAGCCGCGGGAAUUC
This 406-nucleotide ribosomal RNA is filed under the name uncultured bacterium. Its description in RNAcentral is "partial 16S ribosomal RNA". It matches the Rfam family "Bacterial small subunit ribosomal RNA", at positions 30 to 526 of the family's 1533-position model. The record is from RNAcentral.